Molecule: non-coding RNA, 768 nt
Organism: Poecilia reticulata (guppy)
Lineage: Eukaryota; Metazoa; Chordata; Actinopteri; Cyprinodontiformes; Poeciliidae
Source: RefSeq, a predicted model, not a curated record
CGCGACUGGAGCGAAUUAAAGACGCGGAACAUCAAAAAAAAAAAAAAUCCAAGAUGUCCACGACAAUCAGUAAGGAAAUACAAAAGUCGCGGCUGUAAGGCAGUCGCUCGGAGCUACAUGGAGGCUGACAGGAAUCCAGAUGAUGAGGUGAGUUUCGUCUCCGCGACCUUUACGUGUAGGAGACGGCUGUCCGCCAGAAGUCGCUUUUCCAGCUUCACCCAAAGCCGCUUCGAUGAUGCUUUCACUGUCUCACCCAGAGUGUGUGUUUGUGAUGAUCCCCAUGUUCCGCCCUAAUGUAUCCUUCCUUGCUCAAUACGGAUCCACCUUGACUAAAUACAGCAAGUGUGUGUGCAUCCCGCUGUAAAUGAUGUUUUAAAUCCCGUUUCCCAAAUAUACAAAAGGUGUUUGCACCAUUACGUGACGAGACUUCGAACACCGGUAGUGUUUUGGGUCCCCCUGCUGGAAAUCCCACAUAUCGUCUUUAAUAAACAUGAACUCUAAACAGAUUUUGGUCUCUUCCUAAUGCUGUCGACAUUGGUUAUAUGUCAAAAUGUAGAGUUUAAGGAUGUUUAAUGCAUUUCUUGUUCCAUAGAGUUAUUUUGUGGUUCUUAUUCUUGUAUUUAUAUGUGACUUAGUGUCAACCUGCCAAUGGGACGAGAUACUUAAAUUAGCCUCUGGGCUAUAAUGUCAUGUAUUUACAUGUAAAUGAUCAUUAAAAUGUACUGCCCCAUUUUGAAAACAUAAAAUAAAUUUGAACCUCUGAAACAC